Molecule: ribosomal RNA, 253 nt
Filed under: uncultured bacterium
Lineage: Bacteria
Description: partial 16S ribosomal RNA
Rfam family: Bacterial small subunit ribosomal RNA
Source: RNAcentral
UACGUAGGGGGCAAGCGUUGUCCGGAAUCAUUGGGCGUAAAGAGCGUGUAGGCGGCCCGAUAAGUCCGCUGUGAAAGUCCAGGGCUCAACCCUGGAAUGCCGGUGGAUACUGUCGGGCUCGAGUUCGGAAGAGGUGAGUGGAAUUCCUGGUGUAGCGGUGAAAUGCGCAGAUAUCAGGAGGAACAUCAGUGGCGAAAGCGACUUCCUGGACCAAUACUGACGCUCAUGUGCGAAAGCGUGGGGAGCAAACAGG